UUUGUCUUUGUUCAUACAGUUCUUUUAACAUUUGUAAUUCUUUUUCUAAUUCAGCAAUUCUACUAUUUUUGGUUUCUUCUAUUUUUCGUAUUUCUUCCGUAGUUUGUUGUUUUAUUUUUUCUAUUUCUUUUUUCCUAUCUAUCUCUUCAUUUUCUUUUUCUAUUCUUACCAUUGCUGUUAAUUUAUCUUCUAAUUUUAAUUCUUCUUUUUCUAACAUUAGAUAUAAAUGUUCACCUAUUUUCUUAUAUCUUCGUCCUAGAUUAGAAAAUACUAUUUUUAUUUUUGAUCCUUCGUAGUUUUCAUAUAUUUUUUCAUCUAUUAUAAAUUCUUCUUUAUUCAUUUUAUUGUGAAUAGGUCAUGUUGAUAUAUAUAUUCUAAACUAUCUAUUUGUGAUUCUAAUUUUGAUAUUUCAUCUUUUUGUGUAUCUAUUGAAUUUUUACUAACUCCGGCAAAUAUAUUAUAAUGUAGUCGUUCUAUUCUUAUUUUUAAUUCUUUUCGUUUUUCAGAGAUAAUUUGUUUUAAUUCUUUAUAUCGUUGUAUUUUAUUCAUUUUAAAUUAUAUUUAUAAUAUCU
This 572-nucleotide long non-coding RNA is filed under the name Capsicum annuum. Its description in RNAcentral is "long non-coding RNA (CANN_LNC021734)". Lineage: Eukaryota; Viridiplantae; Streptophyta; Magnoliopsida; Solanales; Solanaceae. The record is from RNAcentral.